Molecule: unclassified non-coding RNA, 169 nt
Filed under: uncultured fungus
Lineage: Eukaryota; Fungi
Description: sequence contains ITS1
Source: RNAcentral
GUUACAAUUAUAUUGUUUUGACGCUGAUUGCUAACAUGUGAGUUAAAAAGUCCUACUGGCAGGCAAGCCUACCGAGGAAACAAAGGGUACGCAAAAAACAGGGUUAAAUAGAACCGGUCAGACCGGCCUAAAAUACGUAAUGAUCCUUCCGCAGGUUCACCUACGGAAA